Molecule: ribosomal RNA, 497 nt
Filed under: uncultured bacterium
Lineage: Bacteria
Description: partial 16S ribosomal RNA
Rfam family: Bacterial small subunit ribosomal RNA
Source: RNAcentral
GAUGAACGCUGGCGGCGUGCCUAAUACAUGCAAGUCGAGCGAACGGACGAGAAGCUUGCUUCUCUGAUGUUAGCGGCGGACGGGUGAGUAACACGUGGAUAACCUACCUAUAAGACUGGGAUAACUUCGGGAAACCGUAGCUAAUACCGGAUAAUAUUUUGAACCGCAUGGUUCAAAAGUGAAAGACGGUCUUGCUGUCACUUAUAGAUGGAUCCGCGCUGCAUUAGCUAGUUGGUAAGGUAACGGCUUACCAAGGCAACGAUGCAUAGCCGACCUGAGAGGGUGAUCGGCCACACUGGAACUGAGACGCGGUCCAGACUCCUACGGGAGGCAGCAGUAGGGAAUCUUCCGCAAUGGGCGAAAGCCUGACAGAGCAACGCCGCGUGAGUGAUGAAGGUGUUCGGAUCGUAAAACUCUGUUAUUAGGGAAGAACAUAUGUGUAAGUAACUGUGCACAUCUUGACGGUACCUAGUGAGAAAGCCACGGCUAACUACGUG